This 424-nucleotide ribosomal RNA is filed under the name uncultured prokaryote. Its description in RNAcentral is "bacterial SSU rRNA". It matches the Rfam family "Bacterial small subunit ribosomal RNA", at positions 355 to 796 of the family's 1533-position model. The record is from RNAcentral.
UGGGGAAUAUUGGACAAUGGGGGCAACCCUGAUCCAGCCAUGCCGCGUGAGUGAAGAAGGCCCUAGGGUUGUAAAACUCUUUCGGCGGGGAAGAUGAUGACGGUACCCGCAGAAGAAGCCCCGGCUAACUCCGUGCCAGCAGCCGCGGUAAUACGGAGGGGGCUAGCGUUGUUCGGAAUCACUGGGCGUAAAGCGCGCGUAGGCGGUCCGCAUAGUCAGGCGUGAAAGCCCCGGGCUCAACCUGGGAACUGCGUUUGAUACUGGCGGGCUAGAGUACGGGAGAGGGUAGUGGAAUUCCCAGUGUAGAGGUGAAAUUCGUAGAUAUUGGGAAGAACACCAGUGGCGAAGGCGGCUACCUGGACCGUUACUGACGCUGAGGUGCGAAAGCGUGGGGAGCAAACAGGAUUAGAUACCCCCGUAGUCC